AAGGAAUAUUGGUCAAUGCCCGGAAGGGUGAACCAGCCAUGCCGCGUGCAGGAUGACGGCCCUAUGGGUUGUAAACUGCUUUUGGAUAGGAAGCAUGGAUUGUAUUGAUAUGAUUUUGACGGUACUAUCAGAAUAAGCACCGGCUAACUCCGUGCCAGCAGCCGCGGUAAUACGGAGGGUGCGAGCGUUAUCCGGAAUUACUGGGUUUAAAGGGUGCGUAGGCGGCUGUAUAAGUCGGGGGUGAAAGCAUGGAGCUUAACUGCAUAAUUGCCUUCGAUACUGUAAAGCUGGAAUUAAGUUGAGGUUGGCGGAAUGUGACAUGUAGCGGUGAAAUGCAUAGAUAUGUCAUAGAACACCGAUUGCGUAGGCAGCUGACUGAGCUUAAAUUGACGCUGAGGCACGAAAGCGUGGGGAGCGAAC
Molecule: ribosomal RNA, 420 nt
Filed under: uncultured bacterium
Lineage: Bacteria
Description: bacterial SSU rRNA
Rfam family: Bacterial small subunit ribosomal RNA
Source: RNAcentral